GCGGCCGGCACAGCGGAGCCGCCUCCCGCCGCGCGGCCCCGCGACACGCUGGAAGCCGCCGGGCUGCUCGGGCUGGCGGUAGGUUCGCUGCGCAACAGUGACAACGACGGCAAAGCACCGACGGCCAGUGAGCUACCCCGCUUUCUCCGGGAUAGGCAUCCAUAGUUUUGGAGAUCUAAGCCAACCGAGUGUGUGCCACGAUGCCGGUGCGAGAAGCAGUUGUGGAAUGGAGCAGCAGAACCUGAGCUGAGCCCUAGCCCAGCCAAGCUGGGCAGACAGGAGCUGAGCCAAGCAUUGCAGGCCACAGUCAACCCCAGCAGGGCAGAAAGCAGGCAGCACCACACAGAGGAAUUUGGGAAUUUGUCCAUCAUUGUUUUUCGUUGUCUCAGGCUCAGGGAUGGGGAAUGCUGGCUGCGGGGUGUCCACCACCUUGUCUUUGUCUCAAGAAUAACUGAGCUGCUGCCAAGCUGCAGGAGCGUCCCCAUCUUGUCUUUGCAUCAGCAGUCACGUGGAGCUAAACUGAGGUGUUAGUGAGCACCUUUUGCAUGUAAAGAACCAUCUAUUCCAUAUACUUUUGUUACUAAUAUUGCUGCUGGUGCUGUGCAUUUCUUAUUCCACUGCUGUUUGCUUUCACUAAAUUGUUGUCUCAACUCACA
Lonchura striata (white-rumped munia) is the source of this 656-nucleotide non-coding RNA. NCBI's taxonomy places the organism in Eukaryota, Metazoa, Chordata, Aves, Passeriformes, Estrildidae. The record is from RefSeq and is a predicted model, not a curated record.